ACUAACUAGGAUUCCCGUAGUAGCGGCGAGCGAACUGGGAAGAGCCCAGCGCCGAAUCCCGCGCCGUUUCGACGCAGGGAAAUGUGGCGUUUGGGAGGGUCCGUCAUCCGACGGCCCGGGCGUCGGUCCAAGUCCCUCUUGAACGGGGCCGCUCACCCGCAGAGGGUGCCAGGCCCGUAGGACCGCGCCCGGCCGCCGGAGGAUCCCUCCUCAGAGUCGGGUUGCUUGAAAAUGCAGCCCUAAGCGGGUGGUAAACUCCAUCUAAGGCUAAAUACUACCACGAGACCGAUAGCGAACAAGUACCGUGAGGGAAAGUUGAAAAGAACUUUGAAGAGAGAGUUCAAUAGUACGUGAAACCGUUCAGGGGUAAACCCGAGAAACCCGAAAUGUCGACGGGGGAGAUUCAGUCGCGUCUCGGCGCGUCGGGACCGCGCCGGACGGCGACGUCGCGUCCUUCGGGACGUGGCGCGCUCGUCCGCGGGUCGCCGGCCGCGAACGCGUGCACUUCUCCUCCGGUAGGACGUCGCGACCCGUUGGGGGCCGGCCUAAGGACCGCGGCGGAGCCCGGACGCGGCGCUUCGGCGUUCGCGUCCGGACCCGCGGAUUCCCGGCCGGCCGUAAACAAACCGACGGUAGGUACGAGGCGCGGGACCGCGUGCGCUCCACGGAGUUGCGCGACCGGCCCGCCGCAGGCGCGGCAGGUACGUUCGUCGUACGGACCUCGUGCCGUUCACGGACCCCUGCGGCCGUUGGCGGCGGAGCCCUCGGUCAGAUCCCGUCAGCCGGUCGGCGGCGCUAUAGCUUUGGGUAGUUUCGGGACCCGUCUUGAAACACGGACCAAGGAGUCUAGCAUGUGCGCGAGUCAUUGGGAUUCGUAGCUAAACCUAAAGGCGCAAUGAAAGUGAAGGUUCGCCUCGCGCGAACCGAGGGCGGACGGGCGUCGUUCCGGCGACGUCCCGCACGCCCGGGGCGUCCCGGUCUCAUCGCGAGACGGGGCGCACCCAGAGCGUACACGCUGGGACCCGAAAGAUGGUGAACUAUGCCUGGUCAGGACGAAGUCAGGGGAAACCCUGAUGGAGGUCCGUAGCGAUUCUGACGUGCAAAUCGAUCGUCGGAACUGGGUAUAGCGGCGAAAGACUAAUCGAACCAUCUAGUAGCUGGUUCCCUCCGAAGUUUCCCUCAGGAUAGCUGGCGCUCGUCUUUGAGCGAGUUUCAUCCGGUAAAGCGAAUGAUUAGAGGCAUUGGGGUCGAAACGGCCUCAACCUAUUCUCAAACUUUAAAUGGGUGAGAUCUCCGGCCUGCUCGAACGGUGAGGCCGCGAGAUUCGAAUCAGAG
Molecule: ribosomal RNA, 1335 nt
Filed under: Limnebius sp. DDM0334
Lineage: Eukaryota; Metazoa; Arthropoda; Insecta; Coleoptera; Hydraenidae
Description: eukaryotic LSU rRNA
Rfam family: Eukaryotic large subunit ribosomal RNA
Source: RNAcentral